This 30-nucleotide non-coding RNA is filed under the name Mus musculus (house mouse). The record is from RNAcentral. Lineage: Eukaryota; Metazoa; Chordata; Mammalia; Rodentia; Muridae.
UCAUAAUGGUGCCCUGCUUUGGUGCAAUGC